This 159-nucleotide non-coding RNA is filed under the name uncultured Lachnoclostridium sp. RNAcentral's name for it is "Lysine riboswitch". It matches the Rfam family "Lysine riboswitch aptamer". From Rfam's summary of the family: Riboswitches are metabolite binding domains within certain messenger RNAs that serve as precision sensors for their corresponding targets. Lineage: Bacteria; Bacillati; Bacillota; Clostridia; Lachnospirales; Lachnospiraceae. The record is from RNAcentral.
UGAUAGAGGUGCGGGCUUCAUCAGUAUUUUUGCGGCUACAGCCGGACAACUGCUGCAAAGAGAAAGGGGAGACUGCCGAAGGAAGUGAGUCUGGUCCGGAUACGUUUCCUGGGAUACAGCAGAAUAUGCUGUGUACUGUCACAAUAGUGGAGCGCUAUC